RNAcentral lists this ribosomal RNA (330 nucleotides) under uncultured bacterium. Its description in RNAcentral is "bacterial SSU rRNA". It matches the Rfam family "Bacterial small subunit ribosomal RNA", at positions 568 to 898 of the family's 1533-position model. The record is from RNAcentral.
UAUGUAGGCGGUUGCGUAAGUUCGGUGUGAAAUCUCCCGGCUUAACUGGGAGGGUGCGCCGAAAACUGCGCGGCUCGAGUGCGGGAGAGGAGAGCGGAAUUCCUGGUGUAGCGGUGAAAUGCGUAGAUAUCAGGAGGAACACCGGCGGUGUAGACGGCUCUCUGGACCGUUACUGACGCUGAGAUACGAAAGCGUGGGUAGCAAACAGGAUUAGAUACCCUGGUAGUCCACGCCCUAAACGAUGCACACUUGGUGUGAGCAGUUCAUUCUGUUCGUGCCGGAGCUAACGCGUUAAGUGUGCCGCCUGGGGAGUACGGUCGCAAGGUUGAA